Molecule: RNA transcript, 2313 nt
Organism: Spodoptera frugiperda (fall armyworm)
Lineage: Eukaryota; Metazoa; Arthropoda; Insecta; Lepidoptera; Noctuidae
Gene name: cytochrome c oxidase subunit 1-like
Exons: 1
Source: RefSeq, a predicted model, not a curated record
UCGCUUAUUUAACUCAGCCAUUUUAUUUUUAUAGCGAAAAUGACUUUAUUCAACAAAUCAUAAAGAUAUUGGAACAUUAUAUUUUAUUUUUGGAAUUUGAGCAGGAAUAGUAGGUACUUCUUUAAGUUUAUUAAUUCGAGCUGAAUUAGGAACUCCAGGAUCUUUAAUUGGAGAUGAUCAAAUUUAUAAUACUAUUGUAACAGCCCAUGCUUUUAUUAUAAUUUUUUUUAUAGUUAUACCAAUUAUAAUUGGAGGAUUUGGAAAUUGACUUGUACCUUUAAUAUUAGGAGCUCCUGAUAUAGCUUUCCCACGUAUAAAUAAUAUAAGUUUUUGACUUUUACCCCCAUCUUUAACUUUAUUAAUUUCUAGUAGCAUUGUAGAAAAUGGAGCAGGAACUGGAUGAACAGUUUACCCCCCUCUCCUCUAAUAUUGCUCAUGGUGGUAGUUCAGUAGAUUUAGCUAUUUUCUCACUUCAUUUAGCUGGAAUUUCAUCUAUUUUAGGAGCUAUUAACUUUAUUACCACUAUUAUUAAUAUACGAUUAAAUAAUUUAUCAUUUGAUCAAAUACCUUUAUUUAUUUGAGCUGUAGGUAUUACCGCAUUUUUAUUAUUAUUAUCUUUACCUGUUUUAGCUGGAGCUAUUACUAUAUUACUUACUGAUCGAAAUCUAAAUACAUCAUUUUUCGAUCCUGCAGGAGGAGGUGAUCCUAUUCUUUAUCAACAUUUAUUUUGAUUUUUUGGACAUCCUGAAGUAUAUAUUUUAAUUUUACCGGGAUUUGGUAUAAUUUCUCACAUUAUUUCUCAAGAAAGAGGUAAAAAGGAAACAUUUGGAUGUUUAGGUAUAAUUUAUGCUAUAUUAGCAAUUGGUUUAUUAGGAUUUAUUGUUUGAGCUCAUCAUAUAUUUACUGUAGGAAUAGAUAUUGAUACACGAGCAUAUUUUACAUCUGCAACAAUAAUUAUUGCUGUACCAACAGGUAUUAAAAUUUUUAGUUGAUUAGCUACUUUCCAUGGAACUCAAAUCAAUUAUUCCCCAUCUAUUUUAUGAAGAUUAGGAUUUGUAUUUUUAUUUACUGUAGGGGGAUUAACAGGUGUAAUUUUAUCUAAUUCUUCUAUUGAUAUUACUUUACAUGAUACUUACUAUGUAGUUGCUCAUUUCCACUAUGUUUUAUCAAUAGGAGCUGUAUUUGCUAUUUUAGGUGGAUUUAUUCACUGAUAUCCAUUAUUUACUGGAUUAUCUUUAAAUCCUUAUAUAUUAAAAAUUCAAUUUUUUAUUAUAUUUAUCGGAGUAAAUUUAACUUUCUUCCCACAACAUUUUUUAGGAUUAGCAGGUAUACCUCGUCGAUAUUCUGAUUAUCCUGAUUCUUAUAUUUCAUGAAAUAUUAUUUCAUCAUUAGGAUCAUAUAUUUCAUUAUUAGCAAUUAUAUUUAUAUUAAUUAUUAUUUGAGAAUCUAUAAUUAAUCAACGAAUUUCUUUAUUUACUUUAAAUUUAUCUUCUUCAAUUGAAUGAUAUCAAAAUUUACCACCAGCUGAACAUUCAUAUAAUGAAUUGCCUAUUUUAAGUAACUUCUAAUAUGGCAGAUUAUAUGUAAUGGAUUUAAACCCCAUUUAUAAAGGAAUUAUCCUUUUUUUAGAAAUGGCAACAUGAUCUAAUCUUAAUUUACAAAAUAGAGCAUCUCCUUUAAUAGAACAAAUUAUUUUCUUUCACGAUCACACUUUAAUUAUUUUAAUUAUAAUUACAAUUCUAGUAGGAUAUUUAAUAUCAAGCUUAUUAUUUAAUAAAUAUAUUAAUCGAUUUUUAUUAGAAGGUCAAAUAAUUGAAUUAAUUUGAACUAUUUUACCAGCAAUUACAUUAAUUUUUAUUGCAUUACCUUCACUACGAUUAUUAUAUUUAUUAGAUGAACUUAAUAAUCCUUUAAUUACAUUAAAAUCAAUUGGUCAUCAAUGAUAUUGAAGUUAUGAAUAUUCAGAUUUUCAUAAUAUUGAAUUUGAUUCUUAUAUAAUUUCUACAAAUGAUAUAUCAAGUAAUAAUUUUCGUUUAUUAGAUGUUGAUAAUCGAAUUAUUUUACCUAUGAAUAACCAAAUUCGAAUUAUAGUUACUGCUACUGAUGUAAUUCACUCAUGAACCGUCCCUUCAUUAGGAGUUAAAGUAGAUGCAAAUCCAGGUCGACUAAAUCAAACAAAUUUUUUCAUUAAUCGACCUGGAAUUUUUUAUGGUCAAUGUUCAGAAAUUUGUGGAGCUAAUCAUAGUUUUAUACCAAUUGUAAUUGAAAGAAUUUCAAUUAAAAAUUUUAUUAAUUGAAUUAAUAAUUAUUCUU